CUCAUCCCCACCACUUCCACCAUUUCCUCAUGCCUCAUCAUUUCAUUGAAACUUCAAUUCUUAAAAUCAUAUCCCACCUUCACAACAACAAAACCAGUACACUCUACUAAAAAAAUGUUCCCACGUAAGGCAUAAUUGCCUAGAUUCAUGCUAGUGUCCAUUGUAUCUCACUCUCUCUCUAGGGAGGAAACAGUGUGGGACACUACAAAUCAGUGAAAAAAAAUCACUUUACAUAAAGCUCAAAAGGGAAGAUUUUGCACCUGAUAUGAAAGGCAAAAAGGGAUUGACAUCUGGAGAGAGAAAUGGAUUGCUUAGUUUGGCAUCUUAGAUUGGCAAGAGACAUCCAAUAAGAAACUCUUUGAUUUGAGAGGAUCAGAUGUUUUGCUGUGGAAAAAGAAUGCCAUGUGUUGGUUGAAAAAGAAAGGAACCGUUAAUUGCUCAAGGUUUGUUAGGUGCCUUACAUAUUGGUGUAUCUUUAUAGCUGGACUCUCUGCCUAAGCAUUCCUCCUCUUUUGUUCUCUUUAAACUUCGUUCGUGUUCCUAAAAGAGGGCCGGACACGCAUUUGGAUUGUCAUAUGAAUCUUGAUUUAUGCUUCUGUCUGACUUUCUGACUGUGUAUGGAGAAGGUUGAAUCUUGAAGGCAAAAUAAUCAAGAUGAGACGACGAUGAAGGAAACCAUUUUCAUGAGGGUAUUGUUCUGCAAGAUCCACUGUUCAUUGAUGUGCUUCUGCAAGCCCUCUGCUGCUCAUCUCUACACUUCAAAGCCAUUGAAACUGGAAAGUGCUCCACAUGUCGCUCCUUCGACAGUUUAUGCUAAGGAAGAACAGUGUGUUGAAGUGAAGCGUGAAGCUGCUGUGGUAAAAAGCUGCGUACGGAAGUCCUGUCUUCGUCCCAACUCCACCAGAGAAGUUGGGAAGAAAAAAGUGCAGUGGAUGGACCACCUGGGGAAGGAACUUGCUGAGAUCAGGGAAUUUGAAUCAAGUGAGUCUGGAGAUACUGAUAACGAAGAUGAAAGCAGCCGUUGUCUCUGUGUCAUUCUCUGAGACUGCUGCUACCUGUCUCUGACUUGACUAUACACAGUGGGAUGUUACGGCUCUUAAAUAGAGCAGAGGUGAUCAAUCUGUUUCAUUGGCUUCAUUUUUGCGUUAUUCGACUGCUGAUAUCCGCUUCUAAUCCAGCCAAUCUGUCUGCGGAUUGUACAUCAUCAAUUCUUUGUAACAAAGAUGAAAUCCUACAUCAGUGGCUUCAGCAAACUCCCUUAGAGCAUUGUUGUUACAUUCAAUUUACUAUGCUUGUAUACAAUUUGUAUCAUUGCAAACUCAGAAGUGAUAUAGAGCAUUGAAACAAAGUGUAAAAGUAGACAUUUCUACUAGUUUUAGUUGCUGCACCUUUUAAUCUCAGUCAUUUCUUGUUGAAUCCGAACAUUGAUUUAAUGGAGUUGAUAGCAUUCUCAUU
Non-coding RNA from Salvia hispanica, 1455 nucleotides. NCBI's taxonomy places the organism in Eukaryota, Viridiplantae, Streptophyta, Magnoliopsida, Lamiales, Lamiaceae. The record is from RefSeq and is a predicted model, not a curated record.